GAUGAACGCUGGCGGCGUGCUUAACACAUGCAAGUCGAGCGAGAAGUUUUGAAAAGCUUCUUCGGAUGAAAUUUGAAAUGGAAAGCGGCGGACGGGUGAGUAACGCGUAGGCAACCUGCCCCAUACACAGGGAUAGCAUUUGGAAACGAAUAUUAAUACCUUAUGAAACUUAACUAGUGCAUGCUAGGUAGGUCACAGAUUUAUCGGUAUGGGAUGGGCCGGCGUCUGAUUAGCUAGUUGGUGGGGUAACGGCUCACGAAGGCGACGAUCAGUAGCCGGUCGGAGAGGAUGAUCGGCCACACUGGAACUGAGACACGGUCCAGACUCCUACGGGAGGCAGCAGUGGGGAAUAUUGGACAAUGGGCGCAAGCCUGAUCCAGCCAUACCGCGUGGGUGAAGAAGGCCUUCGGGUUGUAAAGCCCUUUUGUUGGGAAAGAAAAGCAGCAGGUUAAUACCCCGCUGUUCUGACGGUACCCAAAGAAUAAGCACCGGCUAACUUCGUG
RNAcentral lists this ribosomal RNA (503 nucleotides) under uncultured bacterium. Its description in RNAcentral is "partial 16S ribosomal RNA". It matches the Rfam family "Bacterial small subunit ribosomal RNA", at positions 28 to 507 of the family's 1533-position model. The record is from RNAcentral.